Molecule: RNA transcript, 1337 nt
Organism: Vespula pensylvanica (western yellowjacket)
Lineage: Eukaryota; Metazoa; Arthropoda; Insecta; Hymenoptera; Vespidae
Gene: Vps25
Gene name: vacuolar protein-sorting-associated protein 25
Exons: 5
Source: RefSeq, a predicted model, not a curated record
AUAUAUAUCAAUUCUAGGUCAAAUGUUUUUCUAUUUAACACUUAUUGUAUAUGAUCUUAACCUAACAUAGUAAACAAAUGAUCUAGUAAAAGCAGUUGUGAGUUAUAUAUUAUUUCGUGAAAAUAACCGAUACGAAAUUGAUCGGUUCAAUCUUUACAGUACAUUUAUACAGUAACUAUAACUAUUGAAUUAUGGCAGAAAUCGAAUGGCCGUGGCAAUACAGUUUUCCUCCAUUUUUUACUCUCCAACCACACGCAGAUACAAAAGCAAAACAAUUAGCAGCAUGGAAGAGUUUAGUAUUAGAAUAUUAUCGGAUCACAAAACAAGCAAUUGUAGAUAUACGAGAAGUCCAUUCAAGCCCUCUUUUUAACAAUAGUGCAAUCAACCGAAAAUUACCAUCGGAAGUAGUACUUAUAAUAUUAGAGGAGUUAAGCAAAACAGGAAAUGCUAUGCCGUUAGAUAAGACAAAACAAAGAUGGUUAGUUUACUGGCACACAUUGGAAGAAUGGGGCGAUAUAAUAUAUAAUUGGGUACAAGAAACUGGACACGUUGGAUCUGUAUGUACUUUCUACGAAUUAACUCAAGGAGAAGAUAUAGUUGAUCAAGAAUUUUAUAAACUUGAUACGGAAGUAUUAAUAAGAUCUCUUAGAACUCUUGAGUAUGCUAAAAAGGCUGAAUUGAUCAUGUUUGAUGAUAAUCAGGGAGUUAAAUUUUUUUGAUUGCAUAUUUAUUAUUCAGAAAAUACACAUGCAAAAAGAUUCAAUGUUAUCCAACUAUUUUUCUAAUAAUGAGAAGUGCUUAAUUAUCAUCUUUAUAAUAUUGAAACUGCCUAUUCUAUAUGUUUUUAAGAAGAACAAGAAUUAUUUGAAGGAUUUAAACGUAAACUUACAACAGCCAAUCUACGGCAAUAAUAAGGGUGACGUCUUUUGCGGGUAAACCUAUGGUAUCUAAUACCAUAACCAUUGUAACAAGACCAGCUUGUGGUAUACCAGCAGCACCUAUACUUGCAGCUGUUGCAGUUAUGCUUAAAAAAGACGUGAAAGUGAUAAUAUUUUAUAGAUACUUUGCAGUUAUUUUAUAAGUAUAUAUUUUUAAAAAUAUGACAAAAAUAAAAUACCUAACACCAAUGAUACUGCUAAGAGUCAAUGAUACUCCUCUAACUUGAGCAAUAAAUAUAGCUGCAACUGCUUCAUACAAUGCAGUCCCAUCCAUAUUGAUAGUUGCACCAAUUGGUACAACAAACCUUGUUAUCCUAGGAUCUGCUCCCAUAUUAUCCAAGCACUGCAGAGUAACUGGCAGUGUAGCAGUACUGAAUAAAUAAACGUAUUUAUAUAUAA